Molecule: ribosomal RNA, 730 nt
Filed under: uncultured bacterium
Lineage: Bacteria
Description: bacterial SSU rRNA
Rfam family: Bacterial small subunit ribosomal RNA
Source: RNAcentral
AACAGGAUUAGAUACCCUGGUAGUCCACGCCGUAAACGAUGUCGACUUGGAGGUUGUGCCCUUGAGGCGUGGCUUCCGGAGCUAACGCGUUAAGUCGACCGCCUGGGGAGUACGGCCGCAAGGUUAAAACUCAAAUGAAUUGACGGGGGCCCGCACAAGCGGUGGAGCAUGUGGUUUAAUUCGAUGCAACGCGAAGAACCUUACCCACUCUUGACAUCCAGAGAACUUUCCAGAGAUGGAUUGGUGCCUUCGGGAACUCUGAGACAGGUGCUGCAUGGCUGUCGUCAGCUCGUGUUGUGAAAUGUUGGGUUAAGUCCCGCAACGAGCGCAACCCUUAUCCUUUGUUGCCAGCGGUUAGGCCGGGAACUCAAAGGAGACUGCCAGUGAUAAACUGGAGGAAGGUGGGGAUGACGUCAAGUCAUCAUGGCCCUUACGAGUAGGGCUACACACGUGCUACAAUGGCGCAUACAAAGAGAAGCGACCUCGCGAGAGCAAGCGGACCUCAUAAAGUGCGUCGCAGUCCGGAUUGGAGUCUGCAACUCGACUCCAUGAAGUCGGAAUCGCUAGUAAUCGUAGAUCAGAAUGCUACGGUGAAUACGUUCCCGGGCCUUGUACACACCGCCCGUCACACCAUGGGAGUGGGUUGCAAAAGAAGUAGGUAGCUUAACCUUCGGGAGGGCGCUUACCACUUUGUGAUUCAUGACUGGGGUGAAGUCGUAACAAGGUAACC